This 484-nucleotide ribosomal RNA is filed under the name uncultured bacterium. RNAcentral describes it as "partial 16S ribosomal RNA". It matches the Rfam family "Bacterial small subunit ribosomal RNA", at positions 30 to 507 of the family's 1533-position model. The record is from RNAcentral.
AUUGAACGCUGGCGGCAGGCCUAACACAUGCAAGUCGAGCGGAUGAAGGGAGCUUGCUCCUGGAUUCAGCGGCGGACGGGUGAGUAAUGCCUAGGAAUCUGCCUGGUAGUGGGGGAUAACGUCCGGAAACGGGCGCUAAUACCGCAUACGUCCUGAGGGAGAAAGUGGGGGAUCUUCGGACCUCACGCUAUCAGAUGAGCCUAGGUCGGAUUAGCUAGUUGGUGGGGUAAAGGCCUACCAAGGCGACGAUCCGUAACUGGUCUGAGAGGAUGAUCAGUCACACUGGAACUGAGACACGGUCCAGACUCCUACGGGAGGCAGCAGUGGGGAAUAUUGGACAAUGGGCGAAAGCCUGAUCCAGCCAUGCCGCGUGUGUGAAGAAGGUCUUCGGAUUGUAAAUCUCUUUAAGUUGGGAGGAAGGGCAGUAAGUUAAUACCUUGCUGUUUUGACGUUACCAACAGAAUAAGCACCGGCUAACUUCGUG